This 3390-nucleotide long non-coding RNA is filed under the name Nicotiana benthamiana. RNAcentral's name for it is "long non-coding RNA (NBEN_LNC011661)". The record is from RNAcentral. Lineage: Eukaryota; Viridiplantae; Streptophyta; Magnoliopsida; Solanales; Solanaceae.
AACAUUCACUCAAACACAGACAUUCAACAUCAUUUACUACAAAACACAAUUCUGAAAAAACAUCAGAUAUGAGAAAUUCUAGAAAACUUUCAAAACUUUUCAUUUUUUUGUUUUCACAAGCUGAGAAACAUUGUUUAAAGUAGAGGAUUUUCUUGGUUCCUUUAGAUGGGAUUUCUGGUGUCAAAGCUCUCUAGAAUUGGUUCAAAAUUUCGGAAUUAUUUUAGGGUGCUGCUGCUGUGUUGGUUUUUGUUCUUGCAAGCUUCACACAACAUCGUUCUUUUCUUGCACCUUUUAUUCUCUGGUCUUGUUGUUAUUAAUAGGUAUUUAACCUUUGCUAUUCCUAUGUAAUGAUUUGUUAAAAUGAUAUAAAUAUUGGAUUUGUAAAUAGCAUGUGUAGAAAUGAAUGUCUUUCAUGAUAGCAGUUAGCGUAACUUGAUGUGCAUUUGAUCAAUUUAAGUUAUGUCUGUUUAAAGUUUAAAAAAUGAUUCAGCAUAUAACUUAGCUAAUACAUGAGUGUUGUGUGUGGCUUUAUCUUGUAAAAGUAGAUGUGCCUUGUAAUCAAACAUUUAGGUUAUUAAUGCUGAUUAUGAAGAGUUUUAGUUAAAUUUCUCCUUCCUCCUUUUCUCUGAUGGCUUUUUCUUUACUUAAACCCACUUGUUUUUCUUUCUUUGAUUGUUUGGCCAAGAGCUUCAACAUGCAGAUUUGGAAACUGAUUAAUUAAAACAACAGGUUCAAAAGCUUGAAAAUGGGACUCAUACUGUUUUUUAACAAAGAGAAAACUAAGCUCUAAUGGACAAGCCAUAUCCAAAAUAGGCAGGAAUUAUUUAGAACAUCAGUUAUACAAACAUGUAAUAGUUUAGCCUAAAUAUAGUUAGUUUAUGUAACAAGAUGAGUUGUUACAGCGCCUUACUAGUAUUAUUGAUAGGUGUUAAAAUGAUUUGUGUAUGUUCUGUAAAAUUUAAAUUUUAGUUGUUUAAGGAAGUUGGGAAUUUUAAUGUGGACUAGUUCAUAAAUGAGUUGAGUUGUAGUUUUUUUAAAGUGUGACUACCCGGCCCUUCGUCACAUGAGUUACCGUUCCUUUUCCCACAUAUUAUGUUCCCCUAUGAUUCAUUAUCGGUAUUCGAGGUGAUCGAGUAGAAUUGGAUUGGUUUUAAAUUGAAAUGAGACACUUAAUCUCUUAAAGGAAAGCUUCUGUUGGAAAAGUCAAUCGGAAGUUGACUAUUUAGUUAGAGGGAUUGGAUGUGGAUUUUGGUAAUUCGGUUAGCUUUGGGAGAUGAUUUUUACCUUAGUAGUGCGGUCGGAAUUGAAUUUGCAGGUUCAGUGUAGAAUUAGGCUUGAAUUGGCGAAGUUUAGUAUUUUGGCGGAUUCCAGUGGAUAGGUGAGAUUUUGAUCCGAGGGUUGGAAUGGAAUUCCAAAAGUGGCAGUAGCUCUAGUGGUAAUUUUGGAUAUGUGUACGAAUUUUUAGGUCAUUUGGACAUCCUUUGGUUGGGGUUUUGAUCGAGUGUGUGUUUCGAAAGUUUUGAAGAAAUUUAGGCCUGAAUAUGUGAGGAACGGAUGAUUUUUGUGUUGUUUGACGUGUUUUGAUUAUUGGAACAUGUUCAUAUGAUGACUUGGGGUAGAUUGGUGUUUUUGGUUGAGGUCCCAGGAGCCUUGGAGAUAUUUCAGGUGAUCAAACGGAUCAUUUUUGGACUUGUGUGAUUGCUGGUUUUCCAACUAUGGGAUUGCAGAGAAUUCCUUCAUCGCGUUUGCAUUGUAUGUGCUGCAGACGCGUAGAGCUAAGUUGGGACAACAGGAGGUUUUCAUCAUUUUUGCAUUUAUGCUAUGCGUUUAUGCAUUUGAGAGCCGUGGUGAAUUGCGUUCGCGGUGCUGGGCACGCAUUCGCGUAAAAGGAGGAAGGGGUCCAGCCUUGAUACUCUUCGUGUUCGAGAUUGAGGAGAUGCGUUCACAUAGGUCCGGGGGCCUGAGCCUUCGCAUUCGCGAGAGACCAGACACAUUCGCGAAGGGCAUUUUUUGUCACAGGGGAAAAUUGUACAUUGCGAACUCGAGAGGACCCUCACAUUCACAUAGAAAGAACUAGGCAUUCAGUAAGGGUUAAUUAAAGACAUUUCAUCCGCGACCCAUUUGAUAUUUACUCUAUUUUUUAACUAGCUCAAGAGCUUUUGGGUAGAAAUUGAAAAGAUUUUUGACGGAAAUCAACUGGAGGUAAGUCUCGUGACCUAGAAACACUAUUUUAAUGAAGAAUCUAACUUUGACUGUGCGAAAAAUUGGGUGAAAAUUUGAAGAAAUAGUGCUUGAGUUUUGAAAUUAAAAUUUGGGAUUUGAAGGAGCAUUUGAACUCCGAUAUCGGUAAAUUUGAUAUGUAUAGACUCAUGCCGAGAUAAGGAUCGUUUUGAUGUAAUGUUUUCUGGAUUUUGAGAAGUGGCCCGCGUUCGGGUUUUGCCAACUUCGUGAUUUUUUGUGUCUUUCGAAUUCUUUUGAUUGGGUUAUGUUUCUCUAGUUUAUUGUAAUAUAUUUAUUGUGGUUAUGGCCAGGUUCAACGCGCGAGGAGUUUGAUUCAAUGGGAAAGGCUUAGCGGACUAGUCUUGUGGCCGAAUUGAGGUAAGUAAUAGAUGUAGAUGAUGACCUGAGGGUUUGAAACCCCAAUUUAUCACAAUGUGACUCUAUAUUGAGGCGAGACACUGGUGGGGAUAUUGGCUUAGUCCGGCCCGAGUGGUGUCCAAGUUGUGCUUUGGACUAUUGACUGAUAGCAAACAUCCUACUUGGAUUGUUAUGAUAUAUUUGGACUGUGUACCAAUUAUUUGAAUCUUUUUGGGAUUAUUAUCACUGCUUCCAUGAUGAUUAGCAUGUUAUUUGAGUUCAGUCCUAAGUUUAAAUACUGUUUCGAAAUACUUAGUCAAACUCCUAAGGUUUUAAAGACUUAAACGAUAAUUUCCUAAUAAUUUAAACUGAGAAUAAAAAUAUGACUUUGCUUUAUAACUCACAUGCAUAAUCUGGAGUGAGUGUGGGUUGGGCCGAACACUGCAACGAUAAUACGAUGAUAUUGUUCUUGGGGUUUAGGAGCCCCUCCGGAGUCUGAAUCCCCUUUGUGAGUGUGGAUACCCAAAUGGAUCGGGCUCUACGCCGCAGGGGUCAUGUGCAUUGCAUUGGAUUCAUGCUUUGAUGUUUAUCUGAUCUAGCUAUUUCUGUUUUUUGCCGUUUCACCGUUGAUUAUGCUAAGUUGAUAGUUUUAGCUUUACAUUGUGGUAUUUUUGGGAUUUCUUACUUUCAUCCAUCUAUUACCAUUGAGUUGGGAGUACUCACUUUACUCCAUGCACCAUGUGUGCAGAUUCAGGUGUAUCGAGAGCUUAGUCGAGUUGUUUGUUGCUUCCAGAGCUUUCAUAAGUUGUCGAG